Molecule: ribosomal RNA, 130 nt
Filed under: Elgaria kingii
Lineage: Eukaryota; Metazoa; Chordata; Lepidosauria; Squamata; Anguidae
Description: partial 16S ribosomal RNA
Source: RNAcentral
UAUUUAGAAAGUUUCUUCAGUACGAAAGGACAAGAAAACAGGACCUCUUCUAACAAAAAGUCCUUCAAACCAUAGCUGACAAAAACUCAACCUAAUAUGACCAAAACACAUAGCCCGAGACAAGGGCUAA